UGGGGAAUAUUGCACAAUGGGGGGAAACCCUGAUGCAGCGACGCCGCGUGAGUGAAGAAGUAUUUCGGUAUGUAAAGCUCUAUCAGCAGGGAAGAAAAUGACGGUACCUGACUAAGAAGCCCCGGCUAACUACGUGCCAGCAGCCGCGGUAAUACGUAGGGGGCAAGCGUUAUCCGGAUUUACUGGGUGUAAAGGGAGCGUAGACGGCAUGGCAAGUCUGAAGUGAAAUGCGGGGCUCAACCCCUGAACUGCUUUGGAAACUGUCAGGCUGGAGUGCAGGAGAGGUAAGUGGAAUUCCUAGUGUAGCGGUGAAAUGCGUAGAUA
RNAcentral lists this ribosomal RNA (324 nucleotides) under uncultured Clostridium sp. Its description in RNAcentral is "bacterial SSU rRNA". It matches the Rfam family "Bacterial small subunit ribosomal RNA", at positions 355 to 696 of the family's 1533-position model. The record is from RNAcentral. Lineage: Bacteria; Bacillati; Bacillota; Clostridia; Eubacteriales; Clostridiaceae.